GGGUUGUGAGGUUAAGCGACUAAGCGUACACGGUGGAUGCCCUGGCAGUCAGAGGCGAUGAAGGACGUGCUAAUCUGCGAUAAGCGUCGGUAAGGUGAUAUGAACCGUUAUAACCGGCGAUUUCCGAAUGGGGAAACCCAGUGUGAUUCGUCACACUAUCAUUAACUGAAUCCAUAGGUUAAUGAGGCGAACCGGGGGAACUGAAACAUCUAAGUACCCCGAGGAAAAGAAAUCAACCGAGAUUCCCCCAGUAGCGGCGAGCGAACGGGGAGCAGCCCAGAGCCUGAAUCAGUGUGUGUGUUAGUGGAAGCGUCUGGAAAGGCGYGCGAUACAGGGUGACAGCCCCGUACACAAAAAUGCACAURCUGUGAGCUCGAUGAGUAGGGCGGGACACGUGGUAUCCUGUCUGAAUAUGGGGGGACCAUCCUCCAAGGCUAAAUACUCCUGACUGACCGAUAGUGAACCAGUACCGUGAGGGAAAGGCGAAAAGAACCCCGGCGAGGGGAGUGAAAAAGAACCUGAAACCGUGUACGUACAAGCAGUGGGAGCACAGAGCAAUCUGUGUGACUGCGUACCUUUUGUAUAAUGGGUCAGCGACUUAUAUUCUGUAGCAAGGUUAACCGAAUAGGGGAGCCGAAGGGAAACCGAGUCUUAACUGGGCGUUAAGUUGCAGGGUAUAGACCCGAAACCCGGUGAUCUAGCCAUGGGCAGGUUGAAGGUUGGGUAACACUAACUGGAGGACCGAACCGACUAAUGUUGAAAAAUUAGCGGAUGACUUGUGGCUGGGGGUGAAAGGCCAAUCAAACCGGGAGAUAGCUGGUUCUCCCCGAAAGCUAUUUAGGUAGCGCCUCGUGAAUUCAUCUCCGGGGGUAGAGCACUGUUUCGGCAAGGGGGUCAUCCCGACUUACCAACCCGAUGCAAACUGCGAAUACCGGAGAAUGUUAUCACGGGAGACACACGGCGGGUGCUAACGUCCGUCGUGAAGAGGGAAACAACCCAGACCGCCAGCUAAGGUCCCAAAGUCAUGGUUAAGUGGGAAACGAUGUGGGAAGGCCCAGACAGCCAGGAUGUUGGCUUAGAAGCAGCCAUCAUUUAAAGAAAGCGUAAUAGCUCACUGGUCGAGUCGGCCUGCGCGGAAGAUGUAACGGGGCUAAACCAUGCACCGAAGCUGCGGCAGCGACRCUUAUGYGUUGUUGGGUAGGGGAGCGUUCUGUAAGCCUGYGAAGGUGURCUGUGAGGYAUGCUGGAGGUAUCAGAAGUGCGAAUGCUGACAUAAGUAACGAUAAAGCGGGUGAAAAGCCCGCUCGCCGGAAGACCAAGGGUUCCUGUCCAACGUUAAUCGGGGCAGGGUGAGUCGACCCCUAAGGCGAGGCCGAAAGGCGUAGUCGAUGGGAAACAGGUUAAUAUUCCUGUACUUGGUGUUACUGCGAAGGGGGGACGGAGAAGGCUAUGUUGGCCGGGCGACGGUUGUCCCGGUUUAAGCGUGUAGGCUGGUUUUCCAGGCAAAUCCGGAAAAYYAAGGCUGAGGCGUGAUGACGAGGCACUACGGUGCUGAAGCAACAAAUGCCCUGCUUCCAGGAAAAGCCUCUAAGCAUCAGGUAACAUCAAAUCGUACCCCAAACCGACACAGGUGGUCAGGUAGAGAAUACCAAGGCGCUUGAGAGAACUCGGGUGAAGGAACUAGGCAAAAUGGUGCCGUAACUUCGGGAGAAGGCACGCUGAUAUGUAGGUGAAGUCCCUCGCGGAUGGAGCUGAAAUCAGUCGAAGAUACCAGCUGGCUGCAACUGUUUAUUAAAAACACAGCACUGUGCAAACACGAAAGUGGACGUAUACGGUGUGACGCCUGCCCGGUGCCGGAAGGUUAAUUGAUGGGGUYAGCGCAAGCGAAGCUCUUGAUCGAAGCCCCGGUAAACGGCGGCCGUAACUAUAACGGUCCUAAGGUAGCGAAAUUCCUUGUCGGGUAAGUUCCGACCUGCACGAAUGGCGUAAUGAUGGCCAGGCUGUCUCCACCCGAGACUCAGUGAAAUUGAACUCGCUGUGAAGAUGCAGUGUACCCGCGGCAAGACGGAAAGACCCCGUGAACCUUUACUAUAGCUUGACACUGAACAUUGAGCCUUGAUGUGUAGGAUAGGUGGGAGGCUUKGAAGUGUGGACGCCAGUCUGCAUGGAGCCGACCUUGAAAUACCACCCUUUAAUGUUUGAUGUUCUAACGUUGACCCGUAAUCCGGGUUGCGGACAGUGUCUGGUGGGUAGUUUGACUGGGGCGGUCUCCUCCUAAAGAGUAACGGAGGAGCACGAAGGUUGGCUAAUCCUGGUCGGACAUCAGGAGGUUAGUGCAAUGGCAUAAGCCAGCUUGACUGCGAGCGUGACGGCGCGAGCAGGUGCGAAAGCAGGUCAUAGUGAUCCGGUGGUUCUGAAUGGAAGGGCCAUCGCUCAACGGAUAAAAGGUACUCCGGGGAUAACAGGCUGAUACCGCCCAAGAGUUCAUAUCGACGGCGGUGUUUGGCACCUCGAUGUCGGCUCAUCACAUCCUGGGGCUGAAGUAGGUCCCAAGGGUAUGGCUGUUCGCCAUUUAAAGUGGUACGCGAGCUGGGUUUAGAACGUCGUGAGACAGUUCGGUCCCUAUCUGCCGUGGGCGCUGGAGAACUGAGGGGGGCUGCUCCUAGUACGAGAGGACCGGAGUGGACGCAUCACUGGUGUUCGGGUUGUCAUGCCAAUGGCACUGCCCGGUAGCUAAAUGCGGAAGAGAUAAGUGCUGAAAGCAUCUAAGCACGAAACUUGCCCCGAGAUGAGUUCUCCCUGACUCCUUGAGAGUCCUGAAGGAACGUUGAAGACGACGACGUUGAUAGGCCGGGUGUGUAAGCGCAGCGAUGCGUUGAGCUAACCGGUACUAAUGAACCGUGAGGCUUAACCUUACAACGCCGAAGVUGUU
RNAcentral lists this ribosomal RNA (2932 nucleotides) under Escherichia coli. RNAcentral's name for it is "23S ribosomal RNA". It matches the Rfam family "Bacterial large subunit ribosomal RNA". The record is from RNAcentral. Lineage: Bacteria; Pseudomonadati; Pseudomonadota; Gammaproteobacteria; Enterobacterales; Enterobacteriaceae.